GGCGAACGCUGGCGGCGUGCUUAACACAUGCAAGUCGAGCGGUAAGGCCCUUUCGGGGGUACACGAGCGGCGAACGGGUGAGUAACACGUGGGUGACCUGCCCUCAGCUCUGGGAUAAGCCCGGGAAACUGGGUCUAAUACUGGAUAUGGCUCCAUGACGCAUGUUGUGGGGUGGAAAGCCUUGUGCGGCUGAGGAUGGGCCCGCGGCCUAUCAGCUUGUUGGUGGGGGAUGGCCUACCAAGGCGACGACGGGUAGCCGGCCUGAGAGGGCGACCGGCCACACUGGGACUGAGACACGGCCCAGACUCCUACGGGAGGCAGCAGUGGGGAAUCUUGCGCAAUGGGCGAAAGCCUGACGCAGCGACGCCGCGUGAGGGAUGACGGCCUGGUGU
RNAcentral lists this ribosomal RNA (392 nucleotides) under uncultured bacterium. RNAcentral's name for it is "bacterial SSU rRNA". It matches the Rfam family "Bacterial small subunit ribosomal RNA", at positions 28 to 422 of the family's 1533-position model. The record is from RNAcentral.